This 1248-nucleotide ribosomal RNA is filed under the name uncultured bacterium. RNAcentral describes it as "partial 16S ribosomal RNA". It matches the Rfam family "Bacterial small subunit ribosomal RNA", at positions 142 to 1334 of the family's 1533-position model. The record is from RNAcentral.
GAUAACCACUGGAAACGGUGGCUAAUACCGCAUAACGUCGCAAGACCAAAGUGGGGGACCUUCGGGCCUCACGCCAUAGGAUGAACCCAGAUGGGAUUAGCUAGUAGGUGGGGUAAAGGCUCACCUAGGCGACGAUCUCUAGCUGGUCUGAGAGGAUGACCAGCCACACUGGAACUGAGACACGGUCCAGACUCCUACGGGAGGCAGCAGUGGGGAAUAUUGCACAAUGGGGGAAACCCUGAUGCAGCCAUGCCGCCUGUACUCAAGAAGGNCCUUUCGGGUUUGUNAAAGAACUUUCAGCCGGGNUUGAGGAAGGCNUAGUGGGCUUAAUACCCCCAUCAGGAUUGANCGUUAACCCGCNAGAAGAAGCACCGGCCUNAACUCCGNUGCCAGCAGCCUGCGAAAAAUACGGAAGGGUCCAAGCCCUAAUUCGGAAGUAACUGCCCGUAAAGCGCACGUCAAGUCAAUUNCUGUAAAGNUCAGACGUGANAAUUCCCCNGGGCUCAAUCCCGGGAACUCAGCAUUUGAAAACUGGCAGGCCUUGAGUCUCGNAUAGAGAGGGGGUAGAAUUCCCAGGGUGUAGCGCUGAAAUGCGUAGAGAUCUGGAGGAAUACCAGGUGGCCAACGCCGGCCCCCAUGGCACGAAGACUGACGCUCAGGUGCGUAAAGCCUGGGGAGCAAACAGGAUUAGAUACCCUGGUAGUCCACGCCGUAAACGAUGUCUACUUGGAGGCUGAGGUCAUGAACCGUGGCUUCCGGAGCUAACGCGUUAAGUAGACCGCCCGGGGGAGUACGGCCGCAAGGUUAAAACUCAAAUGAAUUGACGGGGGCCCGCACAAGCAGUGGAAGCAUAUGGUUUAAUUCGAUGCAACGCGAAGAACCUUACCUGGUCUUGACAUCCACAGAAUUCUCCGGAAAACGGAAAAGUGCCUUCGGGAACUGUGAAACAGGUGCCUGCAUGGAUGUCCUCAGCUNGNAUUGUGAAAUNUUNGGNUAAGUNCCGCAACGNGCGCAANNCUUAUCCUNUGGAGCCNGCNNNUCANUCNNGGANUCAAGGNNGNGUGCCNGUGANAAACNGGAGGAANGUNGNGNCGUCGUCANGUCNUCUUGNCCCUUNCNANCACGGCUACNCCNGUGCCACAAUGGNACAUACAAAGNGUANCGACCUCGCGNGAGCAAGANGACCUCAUAAAUUGCNUCGUAGUCNGNAUNNNAGUCUACUANUCGACUCCGUGAAGUCAUGAAUAG